UCUCGCACGCGCGCGCGCACGUACGCAUGUAACCGCCAAUUGCAAUAUUUGAAAAAAGAACCCGAUCAACCACUGUUUUGCUGUUCAGAAGUCCGUCUAUAAUUCAUCAUAAACUAAAGGAACACAUGUCAGAUUCGGACAACGACUUCAAAUUCAUUCGCAGAAUACGCUAAACAAUUGGACGACGGAUACACUGGAUGAUAAUGUAGAUGGUCCAGGAUUAUCUGGGAAGUAAACUACAGGUGUUGAACACAGAAAACCGUUUACAAGAAAACAACUGGAGUUUGUGAAAGCUGCAAGAAAUUAAUCUUGCCGGGUACGCAUUCACUUCACCUUGGUCGAGUGCAGCACAGUGGAUAAAUGUGUUGCUGAAGGAAAACACCAUUGCUAGGAUUCAAACCCACGACACUCUGUUGAAAGGUGAGAGUCAGAACCACUAGACCACGACGCACCCACAAUUAACAAGCUGAUGUCAUAUCCCCACUUGUUCUUUUGUAUUUUAUAACAAGAAGUCAUGUUUAUUCACAUUUUGACCUCCAAGAACUAAAAAGUGGAGUGAAGAUUUAUUUAAUGUAAACACAUGCAUUGCUUGAAAUCAUUUUAUGCUACGUGGGACAUAUCAUACACACGUGUACGAAAAUAUGAAAUUAUUAUGAUUAUGAAAUCAAAGACUUUGUUAUCAGAUUUUAACGAAAUUGUCAACAUUAUGCUUUUCUGAUUAAUUCUCUUCCUACCUAAAUCUCCCCUUUUCUCAUGCUUUCUUUCUAUGGUCCCCUUCAUUAUCCUUAUAACUAUGUUAUAUGUAAAAUGUAACCGGUCGUCCAACCCAUUUGAUUGAAGGGCUAGGUACUCUAGACUGAAAGUUAUGUGAUUUAAAUUCAAAGAGUACAUCAGACAAAAAAAAAAAACACUGAAAAUUUUAUCAAAAUUGAAUGAGGAUUAACAAAAUUAUGACGAAUUAAAGUUGUUAUUUUUUGGUAAAACUGUUCUCUGCAAGUCCUCAUGAAUAUACAAGAUCCCAAUUUAUAUAUUUUUUUGUAUUAUAUGAAUUCAAAUUUUGUCCAAGCUAGGUUGUAAAAAAUUACGAUUGACUACUGAUUUACUGUGUAAGACAAAAAUUAUAUUAUUUCUCACACAUAGUUGAGUUAUUCAUCUGAUUCAACACAACAAAAAUAGACAAAAAAUAAAUAAGUGGGAAUCUUGUAUAUUUGAACUAUGGGAAAUAGUUAAAAAAUAGAUGUGCUACUAAGAAUUAUUUUCUAUAUGAUUUGCAAAAUAUUAAAAAAAGAUGUCGCUAUUUUUCUUGUUUUUUUUUCUAUUUUCAUGAUAUAUUCUUUAUUAUUCUAUUCUAUAUAUUCUAUUUUUGAUAUAGAUAUUAUUUAUUUAUUUAUGUAUCUUUAAUGUAUUUAUGAUAAACUUUUGGCAUGUUUCUACAGAAAAUCAUUAAAAACGAUUUAUCUUUUCCGGACUCGAAAAACCUUAUUGCCCUUAAACCAACCUGCUUCUACAAACCGAAUAAUCUGAUUAAUUCGCUUUUCGCGUUGCAAAUACGGCGGAAAUCGGAAAAUUCAACCUAUAACCUCACGUUGCAUUGUACAUAUGCCCAAAAUUGCAUCUUCUUAGGAAAAUUUUCAAAAUUUGUGGUAGAUCUCACUCAAUGUAGCAGGUAUACGUGUUGCACGAUCAGCUGGCGAGAUCGAAAAGGCCAGAAUAUGCAAAUAUAUGUACUGCAAAAUUGCACUUCCGGGAUUAAGCACGUCCGCCACACACGAUACGCUAUUUUGCCGUGUGAUUUACAGAAAAGUUAAACGGAUUAACAUGGCAAUAACCACCUCUCAGAGAUGGUUAUGAGAAACCAUAUUUUGCUUGAAGCAGUUUAUCAAUAAACCACAUCGCGUCUGUUUCUACAAAAUUCUACAGGAAAGUUUUCCGGGAUUCUGGAUAAUUACGCGGGUAAUACCUUUUAACGAUUCUAUGUAGAAACACGCCGUUUGAUAUAUCUUUUAGGUGAAAAGAAAAUAGAGAAAUAUUAGGAGGUUCUAUUUUUAUGGGGGUACUAUUUUCCCCCCUUUUGGGGAUAUUUAUUUCCUCUAAGUUUGGUACUCUUUACCUUUAAUGAAUCAUUUGGCCAUGUGAAGGCUAUCACACAUUUUGAGUUUAAUCUUCGAAAUUUGGUGUUCAUCAGUUUGUUGUCCAAACUCUGUCUUACAUGUAGAUUUGUUUAUAGGAAGAUUAACAUAAUAUAUAUGUGGAGUGCAAUCAUUGACCUCUUGUAGAGUCGUGCAGUCACAUGUAUUCAUAAUGCUGGUGCUUUUAUGCCAUACAUGUACUUGUCAAUACUGGGUUCCACUCUUUUGUACUUGAACUCAUUAGUAAAAAAAAUAUUUUAUUAAUGUCAUUGAAGUAGCUGUGUGAAAGCAAUUACACACAACAGAUUUAAAAUCAAGGUUAUUGUAUUACAAGUAUCAGGUUUGUUUGCAGAACAGUGGUUUUGCCAAGUACUCAAUCCACGUAAAAAGCCAUCAGAGACAACAUGUUUAUUCUUGGAAAUGUUAUUAAUUUGUUGUGUUUUUCAAUUAAACUCUGUCUUGAUACAUGUUUAUUUUAGAUACCAAGAUUGACAGAGUAUAGAUGUCAACGAGGAGCAAAGUCAUAUAUAUUCAUAACUUAUGUGCUUUAAUUAUAAAGUCUAUACUUGUGAAUACUGUGUUCCAUUUAUGCUGUACUUAAACUUCUUAUAGUAAAAACAUUUGACGUUCUUGAAAUAA
Molecule: long non-coding RNA, 2768 nt
Organism: Lytechinus pictus (painted urchin)
Lineage: Eukaryota; Metazoa; Echinodermata; Echinoidea; Temnopleuroida; Toxopneustidae
Exons: 3
Source: RefSeq, a predicted model, not a curated record